This is a long non-coding RNA of Molossus molossus (Pallas's mastiff bat), 1667 nucleotides long. RefSeq lists it as uncharacterized. Lineage: Eukaryota; Metazoa; Chordata; Mammalia; Chiroptera; Molossidae. The transcript has 10 exons. The record is from RefSeq and is a predicted model, not a curated record.
GCAAUUUCUGCUUCUCCUCCGGCCUGUGAGGGAGGUGAGGUCAUGCUCAUGUUCCAGACUAAGGCUCCUGCUCACGUCUGAAGUUGCUAAAAGAGGGAUGAAAUGUUCAACUCCGUCACGAGAGGCAGAGCUUCAGGGGGACAUCACCCACACCGAACACCAGCCAACAGCUGAGUCUGGGUUCUCCGCACAUGUCCCUUGCCACCUUCUGGCUCUUUGAGAACCUCAUCUUCACCUCCGUGUCCAGACCCCUGGGCUGCCUGGAGCUUUGAGGCCUCCAUGGAUCCACUCCAGAAACACAGCUCAACGUUGAUUUCUGCAUCUUCCCCGAUGAUCUCUGGAGAAGAGACAUCUCGCGAAGUCACAGCAGCCUCUCAUCCUUCCUUCUCAAAACAGCUAAUGAUGAGCCUCAGUGUCUGGAACCCGAGUCCUGGCUCCACCUACCCUGCCUCUCUAGCAGAGAGACUGCUCCAGCAGCGGUACAGAGAUGAGAAAACCUGGUGAGAGAGGCAGUGGGAAAGAUACAUGGAAAAAGAAAAAGAAAACACAAUCUCAUCCCACGUGACAGAGCUCUGGAUGGAUUCACACAGACGCUGGUGCUGAAGGGCCUGGGUGUGGAUUCUUUUCGGGGAUCAAACAGUUGCCCCGGAGCUGUGCAGCCGCAAACAUAUAGGAGUCUUCUGCAGACAGAGGGGCUUGAGAACAGGUACAUUUACUAGACUCUGAACUUGUGAUCUCAUCAGAGAGCGUGGAAGCCCCAUGGACCCUGCCAGGCUCGUCUCGCAGCCACAGGGAAGGAGACCCAUCAUUGAGCAAGAUUUCCAUCCCGGUUUAUGAGGUGGUGGGACAGCAGACUACAGAGCAGGCAGGGCCUGGGCGCAGCUGGCAGAGGUGAGAAAGUGCUGGCCUCACUCCAGCAGCCACACCAGGCUUCCUUUUCUGGCUCUGGUAACCUUUUCCUGAAGCCCAGCUCCAGGACUCAGGGUUUGAAGAGAAGGUCUGUGUCCUUAAAAGAGGAGCCUGGCAUCGCCUGUGGAGGCAAGGACGGCCCUGAGGGACCCUGCUCACCUCAGCGACAACCCUCAUCAGCUCCUGCACCCCCUUCAAGUCCUGCUUAAAGUGAAGGCCUGUGUCCUUAAAGGAGGAGCCUGGCAUCGCCUGUGGAGGCAAGGACGGCCCUGAGGGACCCUGCUCACCUCAGUGACAACCCUCAUCAGCUCCUGCACCCCUGAGAAGACAGGAGCAAUGAGGGGUGACUUCUCAGAGCUCCCCAAACUCAAUGGACCUGGUUUUGCCCUGACAUCUCUGCUGCUCCUGGGCGUAUCUGCUCCUGACUGCAGCCAGCCCCGCCUGUGCUCAGGGUCCCAUGGGUCCCACCUGCUCGGGGACUUUGCUUCUGCACCUAUCAUCACUCCUCUGUCUUGAACUGUCACUGAGGAGGAACAGAGAGGUCAUCAUCCUGCUUGACUUCACUAGCUAGGGUGUCUCUUACUCCGUACGGAACGUCGUCGCAGAAAAUUGAUACGUAGUUGGGUUUCCGGCCUUCUGUCGCUCUGGCCGGCAGAGGGCAGUGUUGCAUCGUGCACGCAGCAGGCCGCCUCCUGCCCCGCCCCUCGUCAUUCAAAAAACUCGCCGGAGUGUUUACAUCAGUGUCGUCCCUCGCCACU